CUCGAUCCAACCUAAAAGUCCAUCUGAAAAGAACCCAAAAAUCCAUUUGAAAGUUAGAAUUUAGGUAAAAAUAUGACCUCAAAAAAAUAGGGAGAAUAGCAUGGCUUAACAGGUUGCCCUUUUUUCUUUUCCUGAUUUCCUCAACCGGCCCUCCCAAUAGUCCCUAACAUUAACGCCUUUAAGUCCCUUCUCCACUCCAACACCCACCGGCCACCGCCAUCAUCGUUACCACUCCGGCCACCACCGAUCCACCACACACCCACUGGUCCAUCAUCGUUCACCAAUCACCACUAUUGCUUCUUGACUGAGAAACCGAAGGUAACAACCCUUAUGGCGAUUGAUAUAGCUUGAAGCCUUGGGUCUCCUUUUAAGUCCAUUCUCAGUCGCAAACAUUUCCACCAUUUUUGAACUUUUUUUUCUUUCAACUCUAUUUGUUUUAAAGCUCUGCCUUUGAUUUAUAGGAGGAGGAAUAAAAAAAAAAGGGUUCUCUUUUCCCUCCUAAAAAUUGAACUAAAAAGAUGAAAUCUUGUGUUAGUUGCAAUUGUUUAAUGUUUAUGCUUGAGAUAUAUAUACACACAGAGAUAGAAACUAUUCACCCUGGUUUUUGCCCAUAUAUAUAUAUACACCAGCCAUGGAUUUCGUCUCUAAGCUUCUCCUUAUAGUGCCUAAUGAUACUUAUUUUCUCUCCACUAUAGUUGCGAUUUCUAAGUGGGAUUUCAGAUGUAUUAUCUUAUCUUCAGAUCUAUUUUGUUUAUGGGUUGUUCUGAUUUGAAUUUUAUCAUGCUCUAAAACAAUUAUGAUUUUCGGGAUUGAUUACCUUUUGUGGGUAUCUCUUGGAUUUUUGCAUCUUUCCCUAUGAAAUUCUAGAAAAAUUGUUUCAUUUUUGUUUGGGAUUAUAAUUCCUUUGUUGCAUCUUCAACAAUUCUAUGAAGCCAUAUUGUGGUUUUUGUUAUUUAGGAGUUAAAAAUUUCGACAUUAUUGGUUUUUCUUGAACCAAAAUUUAAGUUAAUUAUUCGUGCCGAACCAAACUCAAGUCUGUUAAUUAGGCUUAAAAUUUUGAUUGGACUCCUCAUGAUACCUCUAUUUUAACUAUAUACAUUUAUCAUUAUGAACAUAGAAACUCUUCUGAGUUGACUUUUUGUUUUUGUUCUUUUUGCAGGAUCGCUUAAUAUCUUCAUCAAGAUCUUCAAAAAUUGCGUCUUGGCAUCCUUCGCAUGAACAAUUAAUAUCUUAAGGACAGUGUCCUUUAGGAUCUUUAAAAGAAUACAAAGGCUUUCCAUUAGGUUGAAAGCUUUGUAUGAGAGGAGCUUCAGGGCCGGGGCCUGGACCAUCAAGUGGUUGUAACAUCAUCUGUGUAGAGAAAAUUGGAGGAGUUGGUAAUUGCUUUAAGUGACUGUGAUCAAACUUGAUUUCACUGGUGCCAUCAGCUUUAGUAAUAAUCUGGCUUUUUGUAAAGCGAAUUGGCUGAUCAUGCUGGUGGAUUUGCUCAUAAUUUGUCACCCACUUUUCAGGCAAAAGCUUUAAAAGUUCUUGCUUUGGUAUUUGCUUUGGAACAUGUACACAGUGGGGCUCUUCCUUAGUGUUAACUGAAAUAAGGAGAGAGUCUUCAGAUCCUUGGUUUGAUAAUUUGAAUGCAUGGUCUUGUACCCGAUACACUAUUUGAUAGUGAAGGGUUCCUGUAACAGCAGAUUCAAUCAUUUCUGCCCCAAUGAUCUGAAUCUGAACUUUGAGGGCAUCCAUCAGAUUAGGAUCUUGCAAUGACAUGAUAAAGUUUGGAAACAGAGUUACCAUAGCCAUUCCUGAGCUAAGUGUUGCUUCAACUGUACCAAUACAGGCAUCUUGGUACCGCUUGUAUCUUGAGUCUAAUAGGGCGAUUCUUGACACAACUGGUUUCCCAGAUGUUCCAUGGUAAUUUAGCGCCAAUCUUACUUCUCCAAAAUGGAUGUGAGAGUAUCCAUGAUGGAUCCAUUCUUGGGGAAAGUUUGAAGGGAUUUCAAGAGUAACAAAUUGUUCCUCCUGACCUCCAUAAAUAAGAUGCUUAUCAAACUUUGAUGACUGCACAUAUUCACGUACAUUUUUCCUACUAGUAGUAAGAAGAGACUUGAUACUUUUAAUAGGAG
Molecule: long non-coding RNA, 2120 nt
Filed under: Gossypium barbadense (sea-island cotton)
Lineage: Eukaryota; Viridiplantae; Streptophyta; Magnoliopsida; Malvales; Malvaceae
Description: long non-coding RNA (GBAR_LNC013760)
Source: RNAcentral